CUAGGCUGGAAGAAGAUGAGCUGGAAGUCACUUCACCCUAGGUAAGCACCCUGUGCAGAAUGCUGGCUGGCAAGAGCACAGAGUCAGUCCCCGCUGUCUGCCCCGGGAUGUGCCUAUGCCUCUGCCAGCUGCUCCGGGACCAGACUGGCCUCUCACUGGGUUUGAACAGAGAGCAGUGCCAGACUCCACCUUAUCUCAGCCUAUUUUCCACAUGGACACCUAGACUCUAAAGGCCCCCUUUAAGUACUGAAAGAUUGUAAGAAGGUCUUCCUGGAACCUUGUCUUCUCCAGGCUGAACAACCCCAACUCUCUCAGACUGCUUUCAUAGUAGAGGUGCUGUCUCUUUACUUUUGUGGCCUUUCUUUGGACUCAUUCCUCCUUCCUGUACUGAGGACCCCAGAGCUGGACACAGCACUUCCAGCCUCCAGCCUGUGCUCAUACUGGGGGUUGCCCUGAUGCACAUGCAGAAUCCUGCAUCUGGCAUUGUUGACCUCACGAGGUUCCCAUGAGCCCACUUCUUAAGCUUGUCCAGAUCCCUCUGAAUGGCAUCCAAGACCUCAGGCAUGACAAUUGCCACACUCAGCCUGGCGUCACCUGCAGACUUGCUGAGGGUGCGCUUGACCCCACUGUCUGUGUUACUGAUGAAGACAUUGAACAGCACUGGUCCCUCUACCAACCUGCAUCUGGACACUGAACUGUUGACCACAACUCUCUAGGAGCAAUUCUAUAGGUAAGAUUUGGGAUGCAAAUUUAGUCCGGUUUCUUAUCUAUUCAAUUGUAAUUAAAAACAAAGCAUAUAAUUCCAGUUAAUGAUGAUUUCUAAUGAUUCCCUCUGAAAUUGUGUGGUCCUUUCUCUUUAUUUUCUAGAGCAAGCUGUUUGAAAACAGACAAUAUAAAACUGUUCUGAGGAAAUCUGCUAUUUGUAAAUCACAGAAAGAGGCACUUGCUCUCCUGUGGUUUGAUGGAUUUCAGAGACACAAAUGUAAAGAGAGAUCAACACAUUUCUUAAC
This is a long non-coding RNA of Motacilla alba alba, 1010 nucleotides long. RefSeq lists it as uncharacterized. NCBI's taxonomy places the organism in Eukaryota, Metazoa, Chordata, Aves, Passeriformes, Motacillidae. The record is from RefSeq and is a predicted model, not a curated record. The transcript is spliced from 4 exons.